This 284-nucleotide unclassified non-coding RNA is filed under the name Hevea brasiliensis (rubber tree). The record is from RNAcentral. Lineage: Eukaryota; Viridiplantae; Streptophyta; Magnoliopsida; Malpighiales; Euphorbiaceae.
UACAUAUUAUUCACUAUUAUUUUCUAUUUUAAUUUUAUUUCCUUAGUUCUGUGGGUUUUAUGACCUGUUUGAAAGCAAUUAAACAACUAAUUAGACUGGAAGUAAAUAAAAUGGAUCAAACUUGAUGAUACAAUCCAAAGGUAGGAUGAGAAACUUGAUAAUACUAUUGGUAACAACUUUUAUGACUUGCUAAGAAGAAUUCCUUUUUUAAAGCAGAACCAUUGAUCAUGCUUUCUUCUUGAGAUUUAGUUGUUUUCUCCAUCUAUAUAGCUUGCAAUAAAUUU